Molecule: non-coding RNA, 72 nt
Organism: Deltaproteobacteria bacterium
Lineage: Bacteria; Pseudomonadati; Myxococcota; Myxococcia
Source: Rfam
GGGCACUUGGCUCAGUGGAAGAGCACCGCCUUCACACGGCGGGGGUCACAGGUUCGAACCCUGUAGUGCCCA